GCUGGGCAGGGUGGUGCAUGCCUGUAAUCCCAGCUACUCAGGAGGCUGAGGCAGGAGGAUUGUGGUUCAAAGCCAGCCUCAGCAAAAGCGAUGCACUAAGCAACUCAGUGAGACUCUGUCUCUA
Molecule: small RNA, 124 nt
Filed under: Marmota monax (woodchuck)
Lineage: Eukaryota; Metazoa; Chordata; Mammalia; Rodentia; Sciuridae
Source: RNAcentral